AAGUCGUAACAAGGUUUCCGUAGGUGAACCUGCGGAAGGAUCAUUAAUGAUUGGUGGCUCUCUCGAGGGCAUGUGCACAUCCUUCAUCUUUAUAUUUCCACCUGUGCACCUUUUGUAGAUCUGGAAUUUUGUCCAGUCAACUCGUUGACUGUGUUUGAAAGGACUGCUGUGCUGUGAAAAGCCAGCUUUCCUUCACAUUUCCAGACCUACGUAUUUUAUAUACACCCCAUUUAUGUUACAGAAUGAAAUCUUCAGGCUUUUCAAAGCCUAUAAAAACAAUAUACAACUUUCAGCAACGGAUCUCUUGGCUCUC
RNAcentral lists this unclassified non-coding RNA (313 nucleotides) under fungal sp. RNAcentral describes it as "partial internal transcribed spacer region". The stretch from base 1 to 46 matches the Rfam family "Eukaryotic small subunit ribosomal RNA", at positions 1786 to 1831 of the family's 1831-position model. Lineage: Eukaryota; Fungi. The record is from RNAcentral.